Molecule: small nuclear RNA, 106 nt
Organism: Gorilla gorilla gorilla (western lowland gorilla)
Lineage: Eukaryota; Metazoa; Chordata; Mammalia; Primates; Hominidae
Source: Ensembl
GUGAUUGCUUUGGCAGCACAUACUAAAAAUUGGAAUGAUACAGAGAAGAUUAGUGUGGUGGCUGUGCAAGGAUGGCAUGCAAAUUUUUGAAGAUAUAUAUGUAUAU